CCCCUCCUGCGGCUCAGGACCAGGGAGAGGGGCCAGCCCCGCACCACCUUCCCGCCCCGGGCGGGCGCUCAUCUCCGUGGCGCCGCAAUGGGCGCCAGCCGCCGUACCGCUGUGGGGGGCCCGCGCCCUACCCCUGGGCUGGGGGGGCCGCGCCUUCCCCACCUGCCUCGCGGCCUGGGGCGGCCCGGGACUGGGCGGGGGCGGCGGAGCCUCCUGGCCCCGAGGGGGAGGGGCGGGCGCGCCGCGCUGGUGGCGCUCGCCGGGGCGUGCGGGAGGUGGCGCCGUGAGGCGGGCGGAGCGUGAGCGGCGCCUCCCGCUGCUCGGGCGGCCUCCUGCGGCCGGGCCCCGCUGCGGGGCGGCGGGGGGACGUGGGCGCCGCUGCCCCCCGCAGCCCGCCGCUCCACUCUGCUCCGCGCCGCCCCGCCCCUCCCCCGCCGCCGCCGCCGCCCCUCCCCCUGCUGCCGCUCCCCCGCCUCUCCCCGGUGCGCGGCCAUUGCAGUGACCCCGGCGGGCGGGCGGGCGAGCGAGCGAGGGAGGAUGAUCACGAACACGCGGGGCUUCUUGUGGUCGGACCUGGAGACGCGGGCGCUGCUGGAGAUCUGGGGCGAGGCGGACGUGCAGUCGGCGCUGGACGGCAACUUUCGCAACAGCCAUGUGUACCGCGACGUGGCGUGCCGCCUGGCCGAGCUGGGCUUCGAGCGCACGCCCGAGCAGUGCCGCAUCCGCAUCAAGGGCCUCAAGCGCCAGUACUACCAGGCCCGCGAUGGGCUGAAGAAGAACGGGCACGCCCGCAAGAUCUGCAAGUACUACGACGAGAUGGACCGGAUCCUCAGCUGCCGCGACGGGCCUCCGCCGCCCCCCGGCCCGCCGCCGCCACUGCCCCCGGACGGGCUGCCUGCCGAGCCUGCACCCCCGCUGCCCUUGCCCUUGCCCCUGGGCUUGCCCGCUGGGGGGCCGCCCACGCCAGGCGCCCCUCGCCUGCCCGACAGCGAUGCGCUGGAUGAGGACGGUGAGCUGGAGUCCCCCCGGGACAACUUCACCGAGGACUCCGGAGAGUGCUCGUCCUCCUACACUGAGCACCCCGUCAAGGUGGAGUGCCCGCCCUUCGCCAUCCCUGUGCCACCUGCCGACGGCUUUAAGGAAAUCAAUACACAAACCAGUACAGCGCCACUAAGUCAGCCCAAAAGAUCAAAAAAACGCCACGCAAAUUUAACACUGGAUAAGAUGAUGGAAAAAUUUCUGCAGCAAAGCGUGGAUACAGAAGAGAAAUUUUACAAAUACGAAGAGCAGCGGUUGAAAAUUGAGGACAAGCGCCGUGAAGCUGAGCAUGCUCGUGAGCUCCAGAUGUUACAGAUGUUGGGACAGAUGUUGGCAGGAAUUUCUUCUACAGUAUCACAGAGGUCUCAGUCUAUACCAGCUAGCCCACCUCAGAGAGCAAAUCAUCGCUCAUAUGGAGAUAACUUUAAUUAUAAUGCUAUGACAGCCACACUUUCUCCGCCGAUAGUUAUAGAGAGAUCCUUCUCGUUACAUAAAACACAUUCUAUAAAGGAUAUGGAGAAUAUUUUUCAGUUGGUGCGCAAUGUAAUCCCUCCUCUAGCAGGAAAGAAGCAUAAGGGUCAAGAUGGACGUAUAGGCAUCAUUGGAGGAUGUCAAGAGUACACAGGAGCUCCGUAUUUUGCUGCAAUUACAGCUCUCAAAGUGGGUGCAGAUUUAUCCCACGUAUUUUGUACCAAAGAUGCAGCAACUGUAAUAAAGUCAUAUAGUCCGGAGCUGAUUGUUCAUCCAGUUCUUGACAGUCCUAAUGCUGUUCAUGAAGUGGAAAAGUGGUUACCACGACUGCAUUCAAUUGUCAUAGGACCCGGUUUAGGUAGAAAUGAUGUACUACUUGAGAAUGCUAAGGGUAUUAUAGAAAAAUCCAAGGUCAAAGGAAUCCCCAUUGUCAUUGAUGCCGAUGGAUUGUGGCUCAUUUCCCAACAGCCUUCUCUUAUUCAAGGCUACCAGAGAGCUAUUCUUACUCCAAAUUAUAUGGAGUUCAGCAGACUGUAUGAAGCUAUGCUUAGAGACCCUGUAGAUAGUAAUGAUCAUCAUGGAUGUGUGUUAAGGCUCAGCCAAGCCAUGGGAAAUUUGACAGUUGUUCAGAAGGGAGAACGAGAUCUUAUUUCAGAUGGAGAAAAAGCCUGGUCCUCAUUUGUUGAUUUCCUGCUCUACAAAGAUGAGCCCCACCAUGCACUUGGUAGGUGAUAUCAGUCCCAUCAGUGAGCAGGGCAGGCGUGAGUACUCAGCCUUUGGGGAAGAGUACUCGUAUGCAGUCAUGAAGGAAGCAGCAGAAGAUGUGGUGGACAAGGAGACCUCCUAUCAGGUUCCCUUGGAGUCUUAGCACAUUG
Alligator mississippiensis (American alligator) is the source of this 2384-nucleotide RNA transcript. It is a transcript of the gene named NAD(P)HX dehydratase, with no coding region annotated. The record is from RefSeq and is a predicted model, not a curated record. The transcript is spliced from 11 exons. NCBI's taxonomy places the organism in Eukaryota, Metazoa, Chordata, Crocodylia, Alligatoridae.